AGCAGCCAGAAAGUAAGCAGACUCGCAGAGGGAUAGCCUGCUCCUGGAAAUUCACAGGAAGGACUUUUUCCUUUGGUCCCACUGACCCACCAACCCCCCAACAAGAGAGGAACCCCAGCUUCAUCCUAUUGAGCCAUGACCUCUGUGUCCAUUCUCGCCCUUGUGAUGCUAUUCAUACCUAGACCAACAGAAGCACAGUCAGUGACUCAGCCUGAAGACCGGGUCUCUGUCUCUGAAGGGUCUCCAGUGGAGCUCAAAUGCACUUAUUCCUAUUCUGGGGCCGUUUAUCUCUUCUGGUAUGUCUGGUAUCCCAACCGAGAGCUUCAGCUCCUCCUGAGACAUACUUCAGAGGAAAGCAACAAAGGUUUUCAGGCUAAUCUCAAUAAGACUGAAACCUCCUACCAUCUGAGGAAGCUCCAUGUUCAAGAGGAAGAUUCAGCUGCGUACUUCUGUGCUCUGAGUGGCACAGUGGGAGGUCUCAUAAGGGGAGCUGAACACAAACCUGCAGAAAGUCUUUGA
Non-coding RNA from Trichosurus vulpecula (common brushtail), 519 nucleotides. The record is from the annotation of a RefSeq genome assembly. Lineage: Eukaryota; Metazoa; Chordata; Mammalia; Diprotodontia; Phalangeridae.